RNAcentral lists this ribosomal RNA (497 nucleotides) under uncultured bacterium. RNAcentral's name for it is "partial 16S ribosomal RNA". It matches the Rfam family "Bacterial small subunit ribosomal RNA", at positions 28 to 507 of the family's 1533-position model. The record is from RNAcentral.
GAUGAACGCUGGCGGCGUGCCUAAUACAUGCAAGUCGAGCGAACAGACGAGGAGCUUGCUCCUCUGACGUUAGCGGCUGACGGGUGAGUAACACGUGGAUAAGCUACAUGUAAGACUGGGAUAACUUAGGGGAGCCGGAGAUAAUACCGGAGAAUAUAUUGAACCAUAUCGAUCAAUAGUGAAAGACGACUUUGCUGUCACUUGUAGUUGGAUCCGCGCCGCAUUAGCUAGUUGGUAAGGUAAUGGCUUACCAAGGCAACGAUGCGUAGCCGACCUGAGAGGGUGAUCGGCCACACUGGAACUGAGACACGGCCCAGACUCCUACGGGAGGCAGCAGUAGGGAAUCUUCCGCAAUGGGCGAAAGCCUGACGGAGCAACGCCGCGUGAGUGAUGAAGGUCUUCGGAUCGUAAAACUCUGUUAUUAGGGAAGAACAAAUGUGUAAGUAACUAUGCACGUCUUGACGGUACCUAAUCAGAAAGCCACGGCUAACUACGUG